UUUUUUGCUAUCUUGAAGGAGUUUGCAAUGCCCUCGAGCCCAGAUCCUUGUGUGGAGCUCUGCGAACUGCAAGGAUCUGGCGAGAGUCAGAGUGAGAAUAAAGAGUGCAGUGGAGACAGCGGCAGUGCCGUAGAACAUGACCCUGAUGUUAUGGGUCGUCAGCUCUUCGUCGUUGGACAUGUUGGGAACCAAAACGGGAGGCAACAGGAAGCCGAUGGCCGUGCCCAACUGUGGAACACACACACAACGACACAGUUACAGAGACAAUAAACCCACAAAGUGACACAGUUGAGGAGACAACAUGCACACACACAUAAUGACACACGGUGACAACAAACACAGACACACACACAUAGUUACACAGAGACGUGAUCACAUGUCAGAACUUGUUUUUGUAAGAAAAUGCUUGAGUACCAAUAAACCACACCUUCGCUUUUCUAGUAGGCCUACUUCUUGACAGCUCAGAUGUCACUUCCUGUCUACGUUUGUAUGAAAUCCAUCAUGGCUUCACUGCCAUGUGUGUACAUUUUAGACUGGACUAGUUCUGCGGUAUUAAUGCUGUAUUAUUAGUGCAGGCCGCAUAUAGUAUUGUGAGUUUUAUUGUGUCAAAGUAUGAUAGUGUAUUGUUUUUAUUCAUUUGUUCGUCUUUAUGCGAGUAGUCAAAAGUACGUGUAUUUGUGAACGUAAUGCAUGUGUUUCAACACUAUGUUGGUCCUAAAAGCACUGACCUGGUUUCCAAGUACGGCGGUGGCACAGGCGGUGGAAACCUCCUUGGGUCCGAACCACACGGAGGCGAUGCGGGACGGCAGGCCGAGGAUGAAGACCUGCGCCACGGAGCAGAUAACCUGGGCCACCAUGGUGACGGCGAAGAGCUCCGGACCCACGCUGGCGCACUUGAGCCAGGCGCCGGCGCAGUUGAGCCCCACCCCCAGCACGGCGGUGAGGCGCAGACCCCGGCGGUCCAGCAACCAGGUGGCGGGGAAAAUGAGCGGCACGUAGACCAGCAUGUAGACGAUGGAGAGCCAGUUGAUCGUGUCGUUGCUCACCUGGUAAAAGCGUGUAAAAACGUGGGCGAUGAUGCUGUACUGGAUCCACUGGAAGGCGUUGACCAGCGAGUAGAGGCUGAACACGGCCAGAACCACGAAGCGGCUCCAGUAGAGCCUGGUCUGUAGACGCUGCAGGUCCUUCUGCUCCUCUUCUCCAUCUUUUGCUUCUCCCACACCAGCUAGCAUCGCCUCGCUUUCAUCUGCCUCCUCUAGCGCCUCCUUGUCCAGCCCGGGGUCACCGGUACCGGCGGGGAGGAUGUCUCCGACCGCUCCCUCUGGCAACUUCCGGUCCACGGCGAUGAGUUCAGACCACCGCCAGAGGAGCACGCGGAGAAGGACCUGACAUGGUUACCAGCGAGCAGACAUGUUUCUCAGGAACCAGCCCGCCUUAAGCCUUUGUUGUAAGGAGGAUGGUCUCACGCUGCAUGGACCAAUAGGAGAGCAGCAGUUAUUACUCACCGUCAUGAUGCGAAUACAAUUAUAAUUAUUGCUGUAUAUAGCAUCUAAAUAAAAUUACGCUUAGAAUUGUAACAAAGAAAACAAUAUUUCAACGAGAAAGUCAACAUAUAAAGCACGUACGCCAUUAGUUUGAAAUAUUUUCUUCUAUUCCUGUAGCAGCAAAUAUACGUGACAUGCCUACUUGGCGGCCAUCUUAGCAGGGGCCACUUCCCCAUUAAAGGCAAGGCAAUACAUUGUUGUAUUGUGAAAAUAAAGCAUAACUGGUUUAUUUCGAAA
This is a long non-coding RNA of Nerophis ophidion (straightnose pipefish), 1781 nucleotides long. RefSeq lists it as uncharacterized. NCBI's taxonomy places the organism in Eukaryota, Metazoa, Chordata, Actinopteri, Syngnathiformes, Syngnathidae. The transcript is spliced from 3 exons. The record is from RefSeq and is a predicted model, not a curated record.